CUCCGGUUGAUCCUGCCGGACCCGACUGCUAUCGGAUUGAGAUUUAGCCAUGCGAGUCGAACGUCCCCCUGUUGCGGGGGGCGUGGCGUACGGCUCAGUAACACGUAGUCAACCUGCCCUGGAGACAAGGACAACCCCGGGAAACUGGGAUUAAUCCUUGAUAGGUCAUCUCAUCUGGAAGGAGAGAUGGCUUAAAGGGGUACGCGGGCUUCUUCCGCGAAUCUGCUCCAGGAUGGGACUGCGUCCGAUCAGGCUGUUGGCGGGGUAAUGGCCCACCAAACCUGUAACCGGUACGGGCCUUGAGAGAGGUGGCCCGGAGAUGGACACUGAGAGAAGGGUCCAGGUCCUACGGGGCGCAGCAGGCGCGAAACCUUCGCAAUGCGCGAAAGCGUGACGAGGUUAAUCCGAGUGACUCCCGCUGAGGGGGUCUUUUGUCAGCUGUAAAUAGGCAGGCGAAUAAGGGGAGGGCAAGCCUGGUGUCAGCCGCCGCGGUAAUACCAGCUCCUCGAGUGGUCGGGGCGAUUAUUGGGCCUAAAGCAUCCGUAGCCGGUUCCGUAGGUCCUCUGUUAAAUCCAACCGCUUAACGGUUGACCUGCAGAGGAUACCGCGGGACUAGGAGGCGGGAGAGGCGGACGGUACUCCGCGUGUAGGGGUAAAAUCCUUUGAUCCGCGGAAGACCACCAGUGGCGAAGGCGGUCCGCCAGAACGCGCUCGACGGUGAGGGAUGAAAGCUGGGGGAGCGAACCGGAUUAGAUACCCGGGUAGUCCCAGCCGUAAACGAUGCUAGCUAGAUGAUUCAUUCGCAAGUCGCGAAUGAAGUGUCGCAGGGAAGCCGUUAAGCUAGCCGCCUGGGGAGUACGGUCGCAAGACUGAAACUUAAGGAAUUGGCGGGGGAGCC
RNAcentral lists this ribosomal RNA (898 nucleotides) under uncultured archaeon. Its description in RNAcentral is "bacterial SSU rRNA". It matches the Rfam family "Archaeal small subunit ribosomal RNA", at positions 1 to 878 of the family's 1478-position model. The record is from RNAcentral.